RNAcentral lists this unclassified non-coding RNA (295 nucleotides) under Hevea brasiliensis (rubber tree). The record is from RNAcentral. Lineage: Eukaryota; Viridiplantae; Streptophyta; Magnoliopsida; Malpighiales; Euphorbiaceae.
UCUCCAGUGAAGAAGUUAUAAGAAAAGGUGAAGUUCUCCAAAUGGGGCAACUUGCAUAUACUGCGUGGAAUACUCCCAGAGAGCAUGUUAUGAGCCACAUUGAGCUGCUCAAGUCCAACAAUACGCCGUUCAUACCUCCAAAUGUGUCGGGCAAUGGACCCAUUAACUGGUUAAAGCUCACAUCGAAAACAUUCAGGUCCUUGAGCCUACCAAUCUCAGGUGGCAAGCAAGACUUUAGAUUAUUAUUCAAGAGGAUGAUUUCGUUAAGAUUUGUCAUGUUACCCAAGCUUGAAGG